GAAGUGAUUAGCCGCUCAGCCAUACGGCGAGUGAGCGGCACAGCUCAAAUUUGAAAGCUAGCCUUCGGGUUCGCAUUGUAAUUUGUAGAGGAUGAUUUGGGGAAGCCGCCUGUCUAAGUUCCUUGGAACAGGACGUCAUAGAGGGUGAGAAUCCCGUAUGUGACAGGAAAUGGCACCCUAUGUAAAUCUCCUUCGACGAGUCGAGUUGUUUGGGAAUGCAGCUCUAAAUGGGAGGUAAAUUUCUUCUAAAGCUAAAUAUUGGCGAGAGACCGAUAGCGCACAAGUAGAGUGAUCGAAAGAUGAAAAGCACUUUGGAAAGAGAGUUAAAAAGCACGUGAAAUUGUUGAAAGGGAAGCGCUUGCAAUCAGACUUGUUUAAACUGUUCGGCCGGUCUUCUGACCGGUUUACUCAGUUUGGACAGGCCAGCAUCAGUUUCGGCGGCCGGAUAAAGGCUCUGGGAAUGUGGCCUCCACUUCGGUGGAGGUGUUAUAGCCCAGGGUGUAAUACGGCCAGCCGGGACUGAGGUCCGCGCUUCGGCUAGGAUGCUGGCGUAAUGGUUGUAAGCGACCCGUCUUGAAACACGGACCAAAAAAGGAGCCCCCCCCCCACACACCUUAUGUUAUCCUGAAUUUUUUUUGUGCGUAAAGUUAUAGUCCAGAAAUUUUUACUUAAUG
Molecule: ribosomal RNA, 674 nt
Filed under: Aureobasidium proteae
Lineage: Eukaryota; Fungi; Ascomycota; Dothideomycetes; Dothideales; Saccotheciaceae
Description: partial 26S ribosomal RNA
Rfam family: Eukaryotic large subunit ribosomal RNA (bases 1-584)
Source: RNAcentral